CUAAUCUAUUCCAACUAUGAUAAGAAGUCAUUUUCCUCAAGUCCACAAACCAUAAUGCCCCCAUAGAAUUCUUUAACACUAGAAAAUAAAAGUGAUUGGCGAUGAGUGGAGAUGUAUGAAAAAUUGUGGGCAAUGAUUGCUUACUUUUCUGCAACAAAGACAGAGACCACUCUUUGGAAAAUACAAAAGAAGGGACGAAAGAAGUGCACAAAACACCUUCAUUAUUCGAGAGAGAGAGAUUGAAAUUUUUAGCCAUGAAGGUAAUAUAACCUCCUAGGAAAGGUAAGGAAGCUCCACCCUCCUCCAACUACACAAAAUUGCAUACCCAUCUCUCUCUCUCACUGUUGAUUAUUUUCUCCUUUGUUCCUGCUCUUUGUGAUCAUGGAAACUAGAACCAUUGGUGUUGCUGCUGCGGCACCUGGAGGGCCACCCGGCAACCAUUCCCUUAAACACCAUCAUUCUCAUUCUCAUCUUCUUAGCCAACAUCAUACCUUACUUUCCUCCACUUCCAUUCGUAUCAUGAUCAUAUCAGGCAUCUCAAUUGUUGUUCUUUUCCUCAUCUUUCUAAUUAUAGUCAUGCUUCGAAGACUCAAAUCCGCUAAAAAUAGAAGCAGAUGCUUUAAAGACAAUAAUGGUUGUAUAAACAACGCCAGUUGCAGGUUCAUCGCUCACACCGCCAUAGCAUUCACUUCUAGCCCAGAUGUGAAGGGAGGUUGCCUAUAUGGAAGCAAUUUGGGUCAUAAAUCUCCAAGAAAGUAUGGAGGAGCCCAAGUUUUCACAUACAAGGAUCUUGAAGUGGCCACAGACAGAUUCAGUGAAGCAAAUGUAAUAGGAAAUGGAGGUUUUGGAGUGGUGUACAGAGGUAUCCUGGCAGAUGGUACUGUGGCUGCCAUUAAGAUGCUGCGUAGGGAAGGAAAGCAAGGGGAACGUGCAUUCAGGAUAGAGGUAGACCUUCUAAGCAGGUUGCAUUCCCCAUACUUGGUGGAACUACUUGGCUACUGUGCUGACCAGCACUAUAGGCUCCUAAUUUUUGAAUUCAUGUCUAAUGGUACACUUCAAAAACAUCUCCAUCACAAGCAAUAUCAGCCACUGGAUUGGGGGACCCGGUUACGGAUAGCCCUUGAUUGUGCUAGGGCCCUAGAGUUCCUCCAUGAACAUACAAUCCCAGCAGUUAUCCACCGUGAUUUUAAGUGCAGCAACAUUUUGCUUGAUCAAAAUUUCCGUGCCAAGGUUUCAGAUUUUGAAUUUGCCAAGAUGGGUUCAGAAAAGAUCAAUGGUCAGACGUCAUCAACACGUGUGCUGGGGACCACAGGUUAUCUUGCUCCAGAGUCUGCCUCGACAGGUAAGCUGACGACAAAAUCAGAUGUAUACAGCUAUGGUGUUGUUCUUUUACAGCUCCUAACUGGCCGGAUACCCGUGGACACCAAGCGGCCUCCUGGUGAACAUGUCCUUGUCUCCUGGGUUAGUGAAUUUAAAAUCCAUCACUUCCUCUCUCAGAAAUGUUACCAACUAGUAACCAGAAUAUGAUACUAAGAACGUAGCAACGUUAUAAAGUUCAAGCCUUUAAUGCCUGCUAUUUAAAUAGAAGUAGAAAAUGUGUGUUAAAUUCCCUGGAAUUAGCCAACAUUGAAGAGAAAUUAUAGUGAAAUUUAUCAGUCGUACACUAUUAUUGCAGGCUCUUCCAAGGUUAACUAAUAGAGAAAAGGUAGUGGAAAUGGUUGACCCAUCUCUUCGAGGCCUCUACUCAAAGAAAGAUUUAAUUCAGGUAGCAGCCAUUGCAGCCAUGUGUGUGCAACCCGAAGCAGAAUACCGGCCUUUAAUGACAGACGUGGUGCAGUCACUAAUCCCUCUGGUCAAGAACCUCUCUUCCACUGCUUCCUCUAGAUUUCGGAAUCACAUAGUUAGUCCCAGCUGUUAGGGACAGUUCUGAAAUUGUAGAAUCGUACAACUCUCUUCUGCUUCGCUCUACGUUGUCAGGUUAAUAAUCAAUUUGAUAGAACUCUAAUCUUUAGAAUUGAAACAAAGGUUUUUAGACGAAGCUUCGUGAAUAAUGACAAUACCAACCAGCAUGCAUUUUGUAUUCACUUAAAACCUUUUGGUGUGAAGUUCCUUGCCGAUCAAAGACACAGGGGCAACAACUUUUUCCACAAGGCCUCCGCAUUUACACAACUGGAACUACACCACAAUGCACACAAAAGCCCAUGCACAAACAAAAAUUAUAUAAGAACCUCUCCAAUUAUUUGUGUACCAUUCAAAGAGCAAUAUUAAGUGAAUACCUUAAUACUGCUUAAUACAAUUGUUUAUGAUAAUGAUGAAUAGAGAAUCACUGUAUUUCCAAUCAACAUAUGUAAAAAUAAAUUUACAUUUUGGCCUAAAAAAUCCAUUUUAGCCUUCUGAUGUACUAAUACAAAGUUGUGGAAGAAGAAAUCUAGUAUACCACUAGUACCACAACUGCCCCUGAAAUGACGAGAACAGAAUAUCAGAGACAUUUCUGUCUCACAAUUCACAACUGAGAAUAGAUCAACGCUGGAAAAAGAGGAUCAACUCGCAGUCAUGUCACCAGAGUCCCCCUUGCUAGCUCCUGAUUCCACAGUAACACUUGUUUCUCCUGCUUUCUCUUCGAAUGAUUUAUCAUUCUUUUUACCAAAUUUAUCAGCAUAUUUUGCAAAUGCAGUAGACAGGGCUGAUUUGACUGUUAGUUCAGGCUCUUUCUUCCUACGUUUGCUUACGUCUUCACCUUCCUUCUCCACAUCCGUAACUUCAUUCACUGAGGAAGGUUCAUUGUCUUUUGGCGAUGUUUCUGGAACAACAGGAUGGCUGGAAACAACACGCUUGAAUGGUUCAUGAAAAGUGUCAUACAAGCGUUUUACCUUGCGCUCUCCUAUGCCAGGGCAACGAGCUAGAUCUUCCAUGGAUGCAUCCAUGAUAUUGGAAAGAGACUGAAAGAAAAUGACAAUCAGAUACAGGACAAACAUGGAAAAAUAGAACCAAUUACAUGCUAUCUGGGGACUAAAAUGCGGACAUACCCCGAAGGUAGACCCAAGCGUGACUACGUCAGUCUUGUUAACAUGUCGAACAGUUGUGAGAGCAUGGGUUAACUAUACCAAAAGAAACAUAGUCUCAGCUUAAUUAGUUCAAAAAUACGAUUUAAGCAGGUUAUUCAAGACUCCAGGUUGGACAACAUAACAUAGAAUUAUAUGGGAGACCUCAAUCUAGUUUAUACCCGUGAUAAAUAGUCUGUAUCCAUUUGGCCCUGAAUAAGAUCUGCAGGCUUGUUUUCAUACAUUUUGAUAGUCUCCAAAUAGCGGCCACAUUCCUCCAAGCUAUAACCAAACACCACCAAAUAAAUUCAAAAAGUAUAAUCCUUUUAAGGUGGGUGACUGCAAGAAACAAGUUCCUUAUUAUUAAUAUAACAGAAUCAUUUGCUGCAUAGGUCCAAGCCUCUAAAUGGAGUUGAUCAAAUCAACUUCCAAAACACAAAAAAUGUACAUUAGUGGAUAUUGAACAGCAAAUCAAAAAAAAUUUGACCCCACUACAUUGGGAACUAAGACAAAGAAUGAAUUGCAAUAAAUGAAGUAUUCUCAGGCUCCUAUCAAACUAUAUCCUGUGUUUAACAUAUAUGCCUCCCUUGCACAAUGGGGAAAAAUGCAGUUUACCUCCAGGCACAUAGCAGCGUACAAUCAUGAAGUAGAGCUGUUUUAGUGACUUCAAGUAAAGGCUUAACCACAUCCUCCACAUCGACAUGACACAGAACAAUGCGAAGCUUGUAGUUCUUUUGCAGUUCCCUUAUUCGAUAAUACAGAUAGUCAGGAUGCAGUAAAUGAUACCGAAGACUGCAUCAAAUGGACAACUUAUCAAAAUUAGCAAAGUUUAGGCAUAAUUCAGAAAGGCACAAACCAAAUGCUAUAGGCUGUGAUCAUAAACUCCAAGACGCAGGUGUUCAUAGUCUAUAUCAUUUAAAUCAACAUUUUAAAAUAUAAUUUCAUGUGAAACAUAACAAAUGAGAAGCAAAUAGUGGAAGCCCAUAGCUUAAACCUUAGAUAGAGGGCACAAGAAUUCUGGCCAAGCAAGUAGUCACAAACCACAUCUGCAAAAGCCCAUCUUACAUUUCUGAUAUGUUUAAGCAACGGAUUUCCCUUCUGCCUGUGGCUAACAAGAAUUGCAUUGCGACUCUGGCCAUUCUGCAGAGAAGAAGAAGCAACAGCAGGCGAUGGAGACGGAGAAGGCACACUUGCAUCAUCCGAGACGGGCACAGAUUGAGAGGUAGAGGAGGAAGGAGGAGGUGGAGGAGGAGUGUAGAAUUCAGAGUUCUUGAUAAAAGAGAAUGCUUGAGAGAAAGUCUGUGAUGGCUUAAAUAAAGAUUGCGACUUUGGCUGUGAGCUCUGCAUUACUUCUUGGUAGGAUGGUAUUUGAAUCACCACCUUCUUAGGGUUAGUUGUUCUGUUCUGCUCUUCUCCCUCCUCCAUGUCCUUUGCCCUAAUUCCUUUCACCGUUUCAAAAUUCAGUUGAAC
This 4511-nucleotide unclassified non-coding RNA is filed under the name Hevea brasiliensis (rubber tree). Lineage: Eukaryota; Viridiplantae; Streptophyta; Magnoliopsida; Malpighiales; Euphorbiaceae. The record is from RNAcentral.